Molecule: transfer RNA, 72 nt
Filed under: Camelus bactrianus (Bactrian camel)
Lineage: Eukaryota; Metazoa; Chordata; Mammalia; Artiodactyla; Camelidae
Also listed under: 1 other name
Rfam family: tRNA
About the family: Transfer RNA (tRNA) molecules are approximately 80 nucleotides in length. Their secondary structure includes four short double-helical elements and three loops (D, anti-codon, and T loops).
Source: Rfam by way of RNAcentral
AGGAUAAUAGCUCAGCGGUAGAGCACACGUUUAGCAUGCAUGAGGGCCUGGGUUCAAUCCCCAGUAAUUCCA